AUUCCUCGGAUCGACGAGCCGCCCUCGACGCGACCCCAGGUCAGGCGGGGCCACCC
This 56-nucleotide ribosomal RNA is filed under the name Droguetia iners subsp. urticoides. RNAcentral describes it as "partial 28S ribosomal RNA". Lineage: Eukaryota; Viridiplantae; Streptophyta; Magnoliopsida; Rosales; Urticaceae. The record is from RNAcentral.